GCAUGGCCAGCUCUCCAAAUUGCUCCCCAAAUUAUAACCAAGAUCCUCCUGCUCUUGAUACAUGGCUGUAUACACUCCUUCUGCCAUUUAUCCUCUAUAGAGUUCUGUUCAGAAAACUUAGUGAAUUGCCUUCCCUUUGCCUAACUUUCACUGAACAGCGUCAAUCCUAAUGGGCCAAUGUCCAUUCGUAUUUUUGCUUUACUAUUCCAUUGGCACUUGAAAUCACUUCGUGACUCACCAGUGUCCAUAGUCAGAGUUAUUGAUAAUUUGCAAUAUGGUUUGAGAGGCUACUACUAAUAAUAAUACAUUGCAACGUUUCCGUUGAAUAACCGAGAAAUUAACGGAAUUAGCACCGAAGUAGCCGCCUCGUGAGAAACAGAGGUUGUCUAUAUCUGUUGGGAAGGGGAUUCACCAGCAGUAGUUCAUGUUGGUUAUAGGGGCCACGCUACGGAACGAACACGGGAGAAAUGGCCUGGAGGGUAAAGGCUGUAACUGGGUAUAUUCUGUUUAUUAAAAUAAUCCGAGAGAAAGGAGCAACGAGACCAAUAUUAAAACAACUUGGAAAUAAUAAUGGAUAAAAAUUUUAUAUAUACGCUUAUAUUAGAAAAAAAAGAUAAUACAAGAUGCUAAAUAAAGAGAGGAGAAGGAAAGAAAUGAUAGAUCAGUGGAAACAGAAGUAGGCUCCUUGAUCACGUCAAGAAAGCUGAGGAAAAUAAAAUCUAUCUACAUAUAUAAAGUGUAUAUAGACAGAGCCUUCGGGGAAAUAUAUCAACGUAGGUAUCGAGAUCGUCAGAAAGAAAAUAAUGACGAAACCAGGAAAGAGUCAACAAUCCAUCACUUCCAUCUUACUAUUUUUUCCCUUUGCAUGAAAUGAAGACCGUCAAAAUAGUAGACCGAGCUAAUUUUAUUAUUUUGGGGGUUGAAAAAAAAAAUGGCUAGUGGCGGAACAUAUACAUAUCCAAGAAUUGGAAGGAAAAUUCCAAGGACGAACUGUGUCCAUUAAGUUCGAAUCGGGGACUGUUCCACGGUCUGGUCCAGGUAUGAUGUUUGCGUCGCUUAAGCCUCCAAGGACGUUUUCUGAAGCUCUUCAGCUGCAUCGGCAACCGCGUCCUUUUCCUGCUUAAGCUCUGCAGUUGCGGACACCUUUCCAUUGGCACC
Molecule: small RNA, 1158 nt
Filed under: Histoplasma capsulatum
Lineage: Eukaryota; Fungi; Ascomycota; Eurotiomycetes; Onygenales; Ajellomycetaceae
Also listed under: 1 other name
Description: hypothetical RNA
Source: RNAcentral